ACUGCGCACGGGGCGGGGCCUCCCAAUUAAGGGGAUGAGGGUCAGGAAGGGAACCUGGGGUCAGCACACGUGGAGUUCUGGGUGGGGCGCUGGGCAGAGGGACUCGGCUUCUAGGGCUCUGAGCCAGGCCGAGGGACAGACUGCUGGGAAGUCCCCAAAAGGGCAGCAGCACUGAGGGGCAGGAUUCCAGGGUCCUGGAGGCGGAAGCUCGGCCGACUGACUCCCAGUUCGAGAGAACGGGGCGGGGGCAGCCCACCAGUGCUGGAACCCGAGGGGCCGGGCGAGGAACGCUGGACUGGGAGCAGGACCCUUCUCGCCUCGGACAAGACUCCUUGUCUGGGGACCCAGCCCGACUUCAUUGUAGCUGGGUCCUCGAGAAAGCGAAAGGAGCCCUCCUUCCCCAUUGGCCUCUCCAUCGCUGCAUCCCAAGAAGAAAGACAACUCGGGCUCCACUUGCUUGCUUUUUAAUAACAGAGCAGAGAGAAUACAAGGCCAGGAGCGGGGCCUGGAGGAAAACAGGACUUGGGGUGCUCCUGUGAGAGCGACGCUGCCAACUCCAUCCCCCAGGGAUUGUGAAGGGGGUUCCUUCUGGCUGUGACAGUGCUGAACGAGGCCAGAGAGUGCAGCUGCCUGGAGGCACAAGCCUCCUCCUGAUCCAGGGGGCUCCAGGGAGACCAAAGCAGCUGUCAAGAUGAGAGAAAUUGAAAAAGAAAAUGGAAAACUCUCCAGCCUGGCUCUCAGCUUCUGCAUCUCCAUGCAAGACCAGAGACCCACAUCACUCCCUCACUCCACCCAGUUCCACUCCAACAAUAC
Molecule: long non-coding RNA, 813 nt
Filed under: Homo sapiens (human)
Lineage: Eukaryota; Metazoa; Chordata; Mammalia; Primates; Hominidae
Description: HSALNT0388163
Source: RNAcentral